This 170-nucleotide small nucleolar RNA is filed under the name Dactylellina haptotyla CBS 200.50. The record is from RNAcentral. Lineage: Eukaryota; Fungi; Ascomycota; Orbiliomycetes; Orbiliales; Orbiliaceae.
UCCCGAGAUGAUAACUAGAUGAUCGGCCCUCUUGUAAAAUUUACUUUUCCACGGCCCUUGUCCUUUAAGUUCUCGGAACAUUAAUUGGAAGCCACCUCUUUUCAUUCCUUUUCCCUCGCUUUAAGGGCGAGGUUUUGGUGGGAGAGGGGUGGCUUCCGUCGGGAACCUUU